This 1368-nucleotide long non-coding RNA is filed under the name Cricetulus griseus (Chinese hamster). RNAcentral's name for it is "lncRNA (ENSCGRG00015036946.1)". Lineage: Eukaryota; Metazoa; Chordata; Mammalia; Rodentia; Cricetidae. The record is from RNAcentral.
CCGGGAAGCGCAGCAUGCGCCGGCUGGGGCGCUGAAGCCCAUGGUCUCUUCUGUUUUAGAGGGGAGGGAUGGGGAUUUACAUCUGUUACUUCCAAGUGGAGCCACUUCUAUUAUUCCUUCGGUGUCAGUCUUUAAAGUGUCUCUUUUGUUUGUUUGUUUUCCGAGAUAGGGUUUCUCUGUGUAACAACUCUGGCUGCCCUGGAACUAACUCUGUAGACCAGGCUGGCCUCGAAUUUACAGACACCCACCUGCUUCUGCCUCCCCAGUGCUGGGAUUGAAGGCAUGUACCACCACCGCCCGGCUUGCAAAGGGGGAGACUGGACAAUACACGUAUAAGCAAGAUCACUUCAGACAAUGAUGUGGAACUCUCAGCUACUUCUCCAGCGCCGUGUCUGCCUGCAUGCUGCCAUACUCUCCACCAUGAGGACAGUGGACUAAACCUCUGAAACGCAACCGGACACUGACUAACACAAUCCCUAAUCCAAUAUGGAAGUUCUCCGAAGCUAGAUGUUUCCCUUCAGCCUUCAGAGGGAGCACUGAUCCUGCUGGAACCCUUGUUUUGGACUUAUGGCCACCACAAGUAUGAGACAGAGAAUGAAAACAUCCAAGUAAGGAAUCUAGAGACCCCUGGGCAAGUGAAACUUCUGAAGAAAAAUAAUGGAUCAUCAAGAGACAAUGUCCCAAGAAAAAUAGUCAAUUGGACAAGUGGUUUCACCCACCUCCGGCUGACAGGCCUGAAAUGCCUGCUCAGAGCCCCAGGCUAGUGCCUUCCAGGUUCUGUGCAAAUUGUGGACACCUUUGGCUUGACUGCUGUGUUCUACUGAAGGGACCAGCUCCCCAUUUCGGCAGCCAUAACAGCCGAACAUGUGCUUGUCUGACCUUGUCUUAAUCACUAGGAAGUCAGAUGCCUGCCUCGUGGCAAGGAACCAAUCAGAAGUUAGGUGGUGGUGCUAUGCUUUACGACUCUGGGUAUGCUUUACGGGCAAGCGCUCAGCAACCACCCUGGGAGGGCCUAUGGGCCAUAACAACCAGUUAACCAAUCAACACAGGGAAAACCCUCCAAGCCUGGAGGCACACCAAUCCUGAGCCUGUGCGUACCCCUAGACACUCCCCUUAUGCUGCCCUAUAAGAUCUCUAUGCAGCCGGUUCAAGUUGUCUUUCCUAGCCAUCCGCCAUGGUGGAUGGAUGGAAGGCCCGAGCUAACAUGGGGUUAGCUCAUUAAACAACUAUAAUAAAGCCUUGUGCUGUUUGCAUCAAGCUUUCGACUCUGCCCUGUGAUUGGGGUGGCUGCAGUCCUGGGCUAAGAUCCUGGAGGCCUGAGCUUUCUGGGGGUCUUAAACUACCUAGCCAGGAUUGCUACUAAAUGAC